RNAcentral lists this ribosomal RNA (484 nucleotides) under uncultured bacterium. RNAcentral describes it as "partial 16S ribosomal RNA". It matches the Rfam family "Bacterial small subunit ribosomal RNA", at positions 30 to 507 of the family's 1533-position model. The record is from RNAcentral.
AUUGAACGCUGGCGGCAGGCCUAACACAUGCAAGUCGAGCGGAUGAAGGGAGCUUGCUCCUGGAUUCAGCGGCGGACGGGUGAGUAAUGCCUAGGAAUCUGCCUGGUAGUGGGGGAUAACGUCCGGAAACGGGCGCUAAUACCGCAUACGUCCUGAGGGAGAAAGUGGGGGAUCUUCGGACCUCACGCUAUCAGAUGAGCCUAGGUCGGAUUAGCUAGUUGGUGGGGUAAAGGCCUACCAAGGCGACGAUCCGUAACUGGUCUGAGAGGAUGAUCAGUCACACUGGAACUGAGACACGGUCCAGACUCCUACGGGAGGCAGCAGUAGGGAAUAUUGGACAAUGGGCGAAAGCCUGAUCCAGCAAUGCCGCGUGUGUGAAGAAGGUCUUCGGAUUGUAAAGCACUUUUAGUUGGGAGGAAGGGCAGUAAGUUAAUACCUUGCUGUUUUGACGUUACCAACAGAAUAAGCACCGGCUAACUUCGUG